This 24-nucleotide non-coding RNA is filed under the name Mus musculus (house mouse). The record is from RNAcentral. Lineage: Eukaryota; Metazoa; Chordata; Mammalia; Rodentia; Muridae.
UGGACUCCUGGACAGACAGACAUA